AUUCCAGCUCCAAUAGUGUAUAUUAAAGUUGUUGCAGUUAAAAAGCUCGUAGUUGGAUUUCUGGCGGGAGCGAUCGGUCCUUCACUCAGUGUUGGAACCUGAUUGUCUCCUGCCAUCCAUGGAGAAAACUUAUCUGGCAUUAAGUUGUCGGGUAGGCAAUCUCCAUCUUUUACUGUGAAAAAAUUAGAGUGUUCAAAGCAGGCUUAUGCCGUUGAAUAUAUUAGCAUGGAAUAAUAAGAUAGGACUAUGGUACUAUUUUGUUGGUUUGUGCACCAUGGUAAUGAUUAAUAGGGACAGUUGUGGGUAUUCGUAUUUCGUCGUCAGAGGUGAAAUUCUUGGAUUUACGAAAGACGAACGACUGCGAAAGCAUUUACCAAGGAUGUUUUCAUUG
Molecule: ribosomal RNA, 391 nt
Filed under: Rhizosolenia sp.
Lineage: Eukaryota; Bacillariophyta; Coscinodiscophyceae; Rhizosoleniales; Rhizosoleniaceae
Description: partial small subunit ribosomal RNA
Rfam family: Eukaryotic small subunit ribosomal RNA
Source: RNAcentral